This 1049-nucleotide long non-coding RNA is filed under the name Salmo salar (Atlantic salmon). Its description in RNAcentral is "lncRNA (ENSSSAG00000107854.1)". Lineage: Eukaryota; Metazoa; Chordata; Actinopteri; Salmoniformes; Salmonidae. The record is from RNAcentral.
GUCAAGAAGCCAUGGAAACGCGGCUCCACCACACCUUGACAGCAGUAGCAUCCCAGAUCCAUGCUGUGUCGUCGUGUGACUGUUGUGGCUGAACAGGUUGAGCUCGUGCGACUAGGCCUACUCUCUGCCGUUCUGAAGGUGCCAGGGGGGGGGGAAAAAACGUCCUUCAGCAAGCUGAUGAGCCAAGGAGGAGGACAGAAGAGAACAGCAGGCCAGUGGAGCACUUGGAACAGCAGAAUCCAGAGGAAACUGUUAGGGAAGAGGAUGAUUUAGGUGACCCAAACACAGGCCCAAAACAACCGGGACAGGACGAGAGAGGAGGGUGGACAAGAGACAGCAACAUAAGUCUAAGAGACAGCAACAGAAGAGGGCAGACAAGAGAGACAGCGUCAGAUGAAACAGAGAAAGCGAUGGAGAGAGGCAGAGGAGGGGACCUGAGCCCUAGGACCAUGCCUCAGGACUACCUGGCCUGAUGACUCCUUGCUGUCCCCAGUCCACCUGGCCGUGCUGCUGCUCCAGUUUCAACUGUUCUGCCUGCAGCUAUGGAACACUGACCUGUUCACCGGACAUGCUACCUGUCCCAGACCUGCUGUUUUCAACUCUCUAGAGACAGCAGGAGUGGUAGAGAUACUCUGAAUGAUCGGCUGUGAAAAGCCAACUGACAUUUACUCCUGAGGUGCUGACUUGUCGCACCCUCGACAACCACUGUGAUUAUUAUUAUUUGACCCUGUUGGUCAUCUAUGAACAUUUGAACAUCUUGGCCAUGUUCUGUUAUAAUCUCCAUCCGGCACAGCCAGAAGAGGACUGGCCACCCCUCAUAGUCUGGUUCCUCUCUAGGUUUCUUACUAGGUUCUGGCCUUUCUAGGAAGUUUUUCCUAGUCACCGUGCUUCUACACCUGCAUUGAUUGCUGUUUGGGGUUUUAGGCUGUGUUUCUGUACAGUACUCUGUGACAUCAGCUGAUGUAAGAAGGGCUUUAUAAAUACAUUUGAUUGAUUUGAUUGAUUGUCUGAUGAAACAGAAAUAGAACUGUUUGGCCAUAAUGACCAUC